GGGGGCGUAGCUCAGUUGGGAGAGCGCAGCGUUCGCAAUGCUGAGGUCAAGAGUUCGAACCUCUCCGUCUCCACCA
RNAcentral lists this transfer RNA (76 nucleotides) under Clostridia bacterium. RNAcentral's name for it is "tRNA-Ala". It matches the Rfam family "tRNA". From Rfam's summary of the family: Transfer RNA (tRNA) molecules are approximately 80 nucleotides in length. Lineage: Bacteria; Bacillati; Bacillota; Clostridia. The record is from RNAcentral.